This 301-nucleotide ribosomal RNA is filed under the name uncultured bacterium. RNAcentral describes it as "partial 16S ribosomal RNA". It matches the Rfam family "Bacterial small subunit ribosomal RNA", at positions 509 to 807 of the family's 1533-position model. The record is from RNAcentral.
CAGCAGCCACGGGAAUACGUAGGGCGCAAGCGUUGUCCGGAAUUAUUGGGCGUAAAGAGCUCGUAGGCGGUCUGUCGCGUCUGGUGUGAAAUCCCGAGGCUCAACCUCGGGCUUGCAUCGGGUACGGGCAGACUAGAGUGCGGUAGGGGAGACUGGAAUUCCUGGUGUAGCGGUGGAAUGCGCAGAUAUCAGGAGGAACACCGAUGGCGAAGGCAGGUCUCUGGGCCGCAACUGACGCUGAGGAGCGAAAGCAUGGGGAGCGAACAGGAUUAGAUACCCGCGUAGUCCCUGUCUCUUAUAC